AAAUAAGUAGCAAUAAAUUGCAUUUAAUUUCGACUUAAAAGAUUAAGUUUAAAAUACUUCUUAUUUU
RNAcentral lists this transfer RNA (67 nucleotides) under Leucoptera malifoliella (pear leaf blister moth). RNAcentral describes it as "tRNA-Arg". Lineage: Eukaryota; Metazoa; Arthropoda; Insecta; Lepidoptera; Lyonetiidae. The record is from RNAcentral.